Molecule: ribosomal RNA, 263 nt
Filed under: uncultured Eubacteriales bacterium
Lineage: Bacteria; Bacillati; Bacillota; Clostridia; Eubacteriales
Description: uncultured Clostridiales bacterium partial 16S ribosomal RNA
Rfam family: Bacterial small subunit ribosomal RNA
Source: RNAcentral
UUGCACUUUGGCAGACUGAGUGGCGGACGGGUGAGUAACGCGUGGGUAACCUGCCUUAUACAGGGGGAUAACGGCUGGAAACGGUCGCUAAUACCGCAUGACGUGUUCGGAUGGCAUCAUCUGAACAUCAAAGAUUUAUCGCUGAAAGAUGGGCUCGCGUCUGAUUAGAUAGUUGGUGGGGUAACGGCCUACCAAGUCGACGAUCAGUAGCCGGACUGAGAGGAUGAACGGCCACAUUGGGACUGAGAUACGGCCCAGACUCC